GCCAAAAAGAUAAAUCAAAACAAUAUGACGGACUGAAAAUCCGCGUGUCGGUGGUUCGAAUCCGCCUCUGGGCACCA
RNAcentral lists this transfer RNA (77 nucleotides) under Mesorhizobium sp. RNAcentral's name for it is "tRNA-Phe". It matches the Rfam family "tRNA". From Rfam's summary of the family: Transfer RNA (tRNA) molecules are approximately 80 nucleotides in length. Their secondary structure includes four short double-helical elements and three loops (D, anti-codon, and T loops). Further hydrogen bonds mediate the characteristic L-shaped molecular structure. tRNAs have two regions of fundamental functional importance: the anti-codon, which is responsible for specific mRNA codon recognition, and the 3' end, to which the tRNAs corresponding amino acid is attached (by aminoacyl-tRNA synthetases). tRNAs cope with the degeneracy of the genetic code in two manners: having more than one tRNA (with a specific anti-codon) for a particular amino acid; and 'wobble' base-pairing, i.e. permitting non-standard base-pairing at the 3rd anti-codon position. The record is from RNAcentral. Lineage: Bacteria; Pseudomonadati; Pseudomonadota; Alphaproteobacteria; Hyphomicrobiales; Phyllobacteriaceae.